Lates calcarifer (barramundi perch) is the source of this 334-nucleotide long non-coding RNA. RefSeq lists it as uncharacterized. The transcript is spliced from 3 exons. The record is from RefSeq and is a predicted model, not a curated record. NCBI's taxonomy places the organism in Eukaryota, Metazoa, Chordata, Actinopteri, Centropomidae.
AAUGAGUCCUAAAACCAGGAACUAAGUUAGCAUGUUAGCUCUUCCUGUUCCCUCGUCCCAGAGUCAGUGUGUUUCUGGUUAAAUGUCUGAAAUAAGGUCUGUGGUUUUAACACAAGCUCAAGACAUUUUCAGGUUUUAUUCUCCGACAUAAAAUGGGUCAGUAAAUCCCCCACUCCUGAUGUUUGAAGCUUUUACGUGUCUUAAAAAAGGCGGUUGCUAACGAGUGUCUAAAUGAGACUACAGAGGUUGUCGGGGACGUUAACAUGAAAACCCAUCUACUCACCAGUCCACCUUUACAGCCUCGUUGUGUUUCUACUCACGCUCUUUCAAACUC